CCUACGGGUGGCAGCAGUGAGGAAUAUUGGUCAAUGGACGAGAGUCUGAACCAGCCAAGUAGCGUGAAGGAUGACUGCCCUAUGGGUUGUAAACUUCUUUUAUAUGGGAAUAAAAUGUUCCACGUGUGCGCUUUUGUAUGUACCAUAUGAAUAAGGAUCGGCUAACUCCGUGCCAGCAGCCGCGGUAAUACGGAGGGUCCGAGCGUUAUCCGGAUUUAUUGGGUUUAAAGGGAGCGUAGGUGGAUUGUUAAGUCAGUUGUGAAAGUUUGCGGCUCAACCGUAAAAUUGCAGUUGAAACUGGCAGUCUUGAGUACAGUAGAGGUAGGCGGAAUUCUUGGUGUAGCGGUGAAAUGCUUAGAUAUCACGAAGAACACCGAUUGCGAAGGCAGCUCACUGGACUGCAACUGACACUGAGGCACGAAAGUGUGGGUAUCAAACAGGAUUAGAUACCCUUGUAGUC
This 460-nucleotide ribosomal RNA is filed under the name uncultured bacterium. RNAcentral describes it as "partial 16S ribosomal RNA". It matches the Rfam family "Bacterial small subunit ribosomal RNA", at positions 338 to 795 of the family's 1533-position model. The record is from RNAcentral.